This 253-nucleotide ribosomal RNA is filed under the name uncultured bacterium. RNAcentral's name for it is "partial 16S ribosomal RNA". It matches the Rfam family "Bacterial small subunit ribosomal RNA", at positions 524 to 776 of the family's 1533-position model. The record is from RNAcentral.
UACGUAGGGGGCAAGCGUUGUCCGGAAUCAUUGGGCGUAAAGAGCGUGUAGGCGGCCAGAUAAGUCCGCUGUGAAAUCUCGAGGCUCAACUUCGAGCUGUCGGUGGAAACUGUCUGGCUAGAGUCCGGAAGAGGAGAAUGGAAUUCCUGGUGUAGCGGUGAAAUGCGCAGAUAUCAGGAAGAACACCCGUGGCGAAGGCGGUUCUCUGGGCCGAUACUGACGCUGAGGAGCGAAAGCGUGGGGAGCAAACAGG